GCGUGAGUGAAGAAGGCCUUCGGGUUGUAAAGCUCUUUUGGCGGGGACGAUGAUGACGGUACCCGCAGAAUAAGCCCCGGCUAACUUCGUGCCAGCAGCCGCGGUAAGACGAAGGGGGCGAGCGUUGUUCGGAAUCACUGGGCGUAAAGGGCGCGUAGGCGGCGCAGUCAGUCAGGCGUGAAAGCCCCGAGCUCAACUUGGGAAAUGCGCUUGAUACUAUUGUGCUAGAGAGCGGGAGAGGAUGGUGGAAUUCCCAGUGUAGAGGUGAAAUUCGU
RNAcentral lists this ribosomal RNA (275 nucleotides) under uncultured bacterium. Its description in RNAcentral is "partial 16S ribosomal RNA". It matches the Rfam family "Bacterial small subunit ribosomal RNA", at positions 399 to 691 of the family's 1533-position model. The record is from RNAcentral.